This is a small nucleolar RNA of Lepus europaeus (European hare), 201 nucleotides long. RefSeq annotates it as small nucleolar RNA SNORA73 family. The record is from RefSeq and is a predicted model, not a curated record. The transcript has a single exon. Lineage: Eukaryota; Metazoa; Chordata; Mammalia; Lagomorpha; Leporidae.
CCAACGUGGAUACCAUAGAAAGUCAUUGCCCCGGGCUCUGUCCAGGUGGCAUAGGGGAGCAUAGGGCUCUGCCCCAUGAUAUACAGUCCUAUCACAUGACACUGGAGAGGAAGCUGGGCCUUGAGUUUGUGUCUUUAUAUUCCUCCAGCUUCUCAGAGUCCUGUGGAAUGACUGAGGAAGCAAACCAAGCAGGAAACAGUU